Molecule: ribosomal RNA, 369 nt
Filed under: Triticum aestivum (bread wheat)
Lineage: Eukaryota; Viridiplantae; Streptophyta; Magnoliopsida; Poales; Poaceae
Description: partial small subunit ribosomal RNA
Source: RNAcentral
AUGGCACAUAGAGAAAGCAGGAGGAAAUUUGUACCCCGCAAGGCUGGCGAAGUCUACACAAUAUGUAGGCAGAGUAGAGGUAGUAGUUACGGGCUCAGGUGUGGCAAUCACAAUCAAUAUUCCCUUAUGGGGUUGGUGGAGUUGGUAGAAAGCACGGCUGGCGAUAGGAUGAUACUAGUUUCAUUCUUGCUAUUCCAAAAUCCAAUGCCCGGAACUGGUAAAUCAAACAAUGUAGGCACACAUUGGCAUGGUUCUGUAAAUAAGAGAUGUCUCAUCUGGAUGAGCUAUCGCAGUCAGUCUUUCUCUACCUUUCUUAGUAGCAGAUUCAACAUGGUUUUAUUAAACUUUAAGCAAUCAGGGUUAAGCUAG